Molecule: ribosomal RNA, 895 nt
Filed under: Triticum aestivum (bread wheat)
Lineage: Eukaryota; Viridiplantae; Streptophyta; Magnoliopsida; Poales; Poaceae
Description: partial small subunit ribosomal RNA
Source: RNAcentral
AAAUAAUGGUACUUGAUCUCAUAGGUCACACACAUCAACAUAUGGAGGAAAAAUCUUUUCUUAGUAUUUAACGAUGAUAUGUAAAUAGUCCCACACAUCGUAGUCUAGAUGUGGAACGUCUUUUGUUGAGUUCCUCAUUACGAUUUUAUAAACAGUGAAGACCAAGUCAGGUCCCCAUUUAAUUUAUACAUUUCAAGCAGCACGUUAAAUCUGACAAUUAACCUAAUAUACGUACUACUAUAGAGAAGAUAAAAAAACCAGUUUAUGGAACUCGGCUCCUAUAAUAAUACUGUCCGAAUCGUAAUCACGUCACGCUUUCAUUGAUAAGAAUCUAAGAGUACGAUUUUUAUUAUAUAAAACUAAAAAAAGAUACCAACUCUUCUAUAUAUACCAGUUACGUUCUAACUCAAAUAAAUAAACACCUACGACCGUCGCGUGUACACCUACAAGUCGUCCCAUAGCUGUAGACGCUAAAGUGGUAGAGACGUGGUAGGGCUCCAAAACGCAGACGAAGAGGAAGAGCCGUCUUCUACCAUCAGCCAGUUUAUAGACAUCGGGGAUACACACCAACAAGUCGUCCCAUAGCGGUUGUUGCUAAAGGGGUAGAGACGUAGUAGAGCUCUAAUAUACCACCUUUCUCCUCCGUAUCUCCCCCCACCUCACCCUUCUUCUCUCCCACUCUCUCCUCCUUCACCUCUGGGACGGCCGCAUAACCACUUUUUGGUGGAGGGACUGAAAGAUGUGGUACCCAAUAGUAGAUUUUAACUAAAAAUCUCCUUAGUUCUGUACAAGAAAAAAGGAAAGGUGUCAAAGAGUAGAUUUUACCUAAAAAUCUCCUUAAUCCUAGACUAAGGACCUGGUAAACGACACAUGACUUACACAUACAUGGUUACGU